AAAAGGAAUUUGCUUAAUUGCACCACAUGUGUUUUUCUUUGAAACAAACUUGCUUUGGCGGUGGGCCCAGCCUGCCGCCAGAGGUCUAAACUUACAACCAAUUUUUUAUCAACUUGUCACACCAGAUUAUUACUUAAUAGUCAAAACUUUCAACAACGGAUCUCUUGGUUCUCGCAUCGAUGAAGAACGCAGCGAAAUGCGAUACGUAAUAUGAAUUGCAGAUAUUCGUGAAUCAUCGAAUCUUUGAACGCACAUUGCGCCCUCUGGUAUUCCGGAGGGCAUGCCUGUUUGAGCGUCGUUUCUCCCUCAAACCGCUGGGUUUGGUGUUGAGCAAUACGACUUGGGUUUGCUUGAAAGACGGUAGUGGUAAGGCGGGAUCGCUUUGACAAUGGCUUAGGUCUAACCAAAAACAUUGCUUGCGGCGGUAACGUCCACCACGUAUAUCUUCAAACUUUGACCUCAAAUCAGGUAGGACUACCCGCUGAACUUAAGCAUAUCAAUAAGCGGAGGAA
Molecule: ribosomal RNA, 512 nt
Filed under: Candida albicans
Lineage: Eukaryota; Fungi; Ascomycota; Pichiomycetes; Serinales; Debaryomycetaceae
Description: eukaryotic LSU rRNA
Rfam family: 5.8S ribosomal RNA (bases 145-298)
Source: RNAcentral